RNAcentral lists this ribosomal RNA (675 nucleotides) under Staphylococcus cohnii. RNAcentral's name for it is "bacterial SSU rRNA". It matches the Rfam family "Bacterial small subunit ribosomal RNA", at positions 13 to 670 of the family's 1533-position model. The record is from RNAcentral. Lineage: Bacteria; Bacillati; Bacillota; Bacilli; Caryophanales; Staphylococcaceae.
UUGAUCCUGGCUCAGGAUGAACGCUGGCGGCGUGCCUAAUACAUGCAAGUCGAGCGAACAGAUAAGGAGCUUGCUCCUUUGACGUUAGCGGCGGACGGGUGAGUAACACGUGGGUAACCUACCUAUAAGACUGGAAUAACUCCGGGAAACCGGGGCUAAUGCCGGAUAACAUUUAGAACCGCAUGGUUCUAAAGUGAAAGAUGGUUUUGCUAUCACUUAUAGAUGGACCCGCGCCGUAUUAGCUAGUUGGUAAGGUAACGGCUUACCAAGGCAACGAUACGUAGCCGACCUGAGAGGGUGAUCGGCCACACUGGAACUGAGACACGGUCCAGACUCCUACGGGAGGCAGCAGUAGGGAAUCUUCCGCAAUGGGCGAAAGCCUGACGGAGCAACGCCGCGUGAGUGAUGAAGGUCUUCGGAUCGUAAAACUCUGUUAUUAGGGAAGAACAAAUGUGUAAGUAACUAUGCACGUCUUGACGGUACCUAAUCAGAAAGCCACGGCUAACUACGUGCCAGCAGCCGCGGUAAUACGUAGGUGGCAAGCGUUAUCCGGAAUUAUUGGGCGUAAAGCGCGCGUAGGCGGUUUCUUAAGUCUGAUGUGAAAGCCCACGGCUCAACCGUGGAGGGUCAUUGGAAACUGGGAAACUUGAGUGCAGAAGAGGAAAGUGGAAUUCC